Molecule: ribosomal RNA, 603 nt
Filed under: uncultured fungus
Lineage: Eukaryota; Fungi
Description: eukaryotic LSU rRNA
Rfam family: 5.8S ribosomal RNA (bases 216-369)
Source: RNAcentral
UCCGUAGGUGAACCUGCGGAAGGAUCAUUAAUGAAUUAAAAAUAAAGAGAGAGUUGUUGCUGGCCGCGAGGUAUCGUGCACGCUCUCCCUUUAUUCAUUCAUCUCACACCUGUGCACUUGUUGUAGGCUGAGCAAUCAGCCUAUGUAUACUUUAUCACACCCUGUAAAUGUCUUACGAAUGUAUACAAGGCGCUUGCGUCUUUUAAAACUUAUACAACUUUCAACAACGGAUCUCUUGGCUCUCGCAUCGAUGAAGAACGCAGCGAAAUGCGAUAAGUAAUGUGAAUUGCAGAAUUCAGUGAAUCAUCGAAUCUUUGAACGCACCUUGCGCCCUUUGGUAUUCCGAAGGGCAUGCCUGUUUGAGUGUCAUUAAAUUAUCAACUCUGAAGUUUUUCAGAGCUUGGACUUGGAGUGUGCCGGACCCCUAACGGGAUUCAGCUCCUCUUUAAAUGUAUAUGCGGAACCUUUGAUUGCGGAUCAGCUCCAGCGUGAUAAUUAUCUACGUUGCGGCGGUGGAACCAGGUUGGGGGAUCUGGCCUAGGAACCCGGUUGGCGGUUACGGCAACAGGGGGGGCUUCACAACCCCUAUCUUUGGGACAAUUU